UUUACUUUAGUUUCAGAUCUUCAUGUACUCUCAUUCAGUUACUUUAUAUCAUUCAGUCAGUUACUGUUCAUGCAUAUGAACCCAUGCAUAUUAGCCUUACUUCACUUAUCAUACCAAUACAUUCAACGUACUGAUCUCAUACUUAUUUUUUUGUGCUAUGAUGACUCGUAUCAUAGGUUCAGACGCACGGGUUCCUGAUCAUACUUAGCAGCUCAGGAUAUUAAUAGAAAAUUCAGUAGUGAGUCUUUAUCCAUCAAGGAUAUUAUUUUAUUUUAGCAUCUUAGAAGAUUUAGUAUAUUCAGUAAUCAGAUUUAUUUGGGGACUUGUCUAAUCAACUCUACAUUCAGACAGUUAGAGGUUUUCAGACUAGCAUAGUCAGUUAUUCAAUUUUCAGAUGUUAUUGUCAGUUAUACUCUCUUAUUAUUUUAGUAUUUUGAGAACCUUAUGGAAUUUUUAGUUACUUCCAUAUAUAUAUAU
This 477-nucleotide long non-coding RNA is filed under the name Capsicum annuum. RNAcentral's name for it is "long non-coding RNA (CANN_LNC012826)". Lineage: Eukaryota; Viridiplantae; Streptophyta; Magnoliopsida; Solanales; Solanaceae. The record is from RNAcentral.